AUGGACUUGGAAAGUAGUGACUUGUGGCUGGCCAUAGCUAUUUUGUCCAUCACUGUAGCACUCAUCGGCAUUGCAAGGCGAAGACUCACCUUUAAUCCAGUGUGCACAAAAUCGCUCCCCCCUAUGGUGAAUAGUAUUACUCUCCUAGGACAAUUGCCUAAGCUUUUGAUGAGGGGUAUUCAAGCUACGACCCAUGAUCUAUAUACAAAGUUUGGCAGUGUGUUCACAAUUAAUUUGUUUGGACAGAAGAUAACCUUCUUGACUGGACCCAAGGUGUCUGCUCAUUUCUUCCAAGCACCUGAAUCAGAGAUCAGCCAAGAGGUUGGCUUUGGUGUUGACAGCGCCACACGAAGUGAACAGAUACGCUUCUCCGUCGAUGCGCUAAGGCCAUCCAAGUUGAGGAACCAUGUUGAUCCCAUGCUUCAGGAAGUGGAGGGGUACUUUGCAAAAUGGGGACAAGAGGGCAUAAUAGAUCUAAAGCACGAGCUCAGUCAAGUACUAUUGUUGAUCUUGGGUCGGUGCCUACUAGGAAAAGAGAUUCGGGAGAAGAUGUUGGAUGAUUUCUACGCAUUGUCUCAUGAUGUUGAAAACGACCUUAACUUGAUCAAUCUCGUAUUCCCAUAUAUCCCAACCGCGAUAAACCACCGUCGCGACCGAGCAUGUAGCAAGCUUGCAGAAAUGCUCUCUGAAAUCGAUGCAUUACAAAGUCUAAUUCAUUCCAAGUACAAAGAUGGGCACUCCAUGACCAAAUCAGAGGUCAUUGGGCUAAUAGUUGCUUUGAUCUUUGUUGGGAAGCACAUGAGCUCUCAAUCUAGUGCCGGGAUAGGAGCUUACCUUCUCAAUGACAUAAAGUGCUUGGUUGCGGUCGUCGAGGAGCAAAAGCAAAUCAUCAAGAAACACAGGGACCGGAUCGACUACGGUGUUUUGCUGGAGAUGGAUACCCUGCAUGGGUGCAUCAAAGAGGCGCUAUGGUUGCACCCUACGACACCAGUGCUAAUUCGCAAGGCACAUAAGCACUUCAUGGUGGAUAAAGAAGGAAAUGAAUAUAACAUCCCAGCAGGGCAUACACUUGUGAUGUUGGGGAACGCGGUAAUUUCAAAAAAUUUCCUACGAUCACGCAAGAUCUAUCUAGGUGAUGCAUAG
RNAcentral lists this ribosomal RNA (1143 nucleotides) under Triticum aestivum (bread wheat). RNAcentral's name for it is "partial small subunit ribosomal RNA". Lineage: Eukaryota; Viridiplantae; Streptophyta; Magnoliopsida; Poales; Poaceae. The record is from RNAcentral.